This 165-nucleotide ribosomal RNA is filed under the name uncultured bacterium. RNAcentral's name for it is "partial 16S rRNA". It matches the Rfam family "Bacterial small subunit ribosomal RNA", at positions 355 to 511 of the family's 1533-position model. The record is from RNAcentral.
UAGGGGAUCUUCGGCAAUGGACGAAAGUCUGACCGAGCAACGCCGCGUGAGUGAAGAAGGUUUUCGGAUCGUAAAACUCUGUUGGUAGAGAAGAACGUUGGUGAGAGUGGAAAGCUCAUCAAGUGACGGUAACUACCCAGAAAGGGACGGCUAACUACGUACCAG